This 72-nucleotide transfer RNA is filed under the name Theionarchaea archaeon DG-70-1. Its description in RNAcentral is "tRNA-Arg". It matches the Rfam family "tRNA". Rfam says of the family: Transfer RNA (tRNA) molecules are approximately 80 nucleotides in length. Their secondary structure includes four short double-helical elements and three loops (D, anti-codon, and T loops). Lineage: Archaea; Methanobacteriati; Methanobacteriota; Theionarchaea. RNAcentral also lists the same sequence under 2 other names. The record is from RNAcentral.
GCCCCUGUCGUCUAGUGGAUAUGACACAGGCCUCCGGAGCCUGAAACCCGGGUUCGAAUCCCGGCAGGGGCA